This 425-nucleotide ribosomal RNA is filed under the name uncultured bacterium. RNAcentral's name for it is "partial 16S ribosomal RNA". It matches the Rfam family "Bacterial small subunit ribosomal RNA", at positions 354 to 796 of the family's 1533-position model. The record is from RNAcentral.
GUGGGGAAUCUUGCGCAAUGGGCGAAAGCCUGACGCAGCCAUGCCGCGUGAAUGAUGAAGGUCUUAGGAUUGUAAAAUUCUUUCACCGGGGACGAUAAUGACGGUACCCGGAGAAGAAGCCCCGGCUAACUUCGUGCCAGCAGCCGCGGUAAUACGAAGGGGGCUAGCGCUGCUCGGAAUUACUGGGCGUAAAGGGCGCGUAGGCGGACAGUUUAGUCAGCGGUGAAAGCCCAGGGCUCAACCUUGGAAUUGCCUUUGAUACUGGUUGUCUUGAGUACGGGAGAGGUGAGUGGAACUCCGGGUGUAGAGGUGAAAUGCGUAGAUAUUCAGAAGAACACCAGUUGCGAAGGCGACUCACUGGCCCGUUACUGACGCUGAGGCGCGAAAGCGUGGGGAGCAAACAGGAUUAGAUACCCCUGUAGUCC